GAAGGCAGCNUCCUGGGAUAACACUGACGUUCAUGCCCGAAAGCGUGGGUAGCAAACAGGAUUAGACACCCUGGUAGUCCACGCCCUAAACGAUGUCGAUUAGCUGUUGGGCAGCAUGACUGCUUAGUAGCGAAGCUAACGCGUGAAAUCGACCGCCUGGGGAGUACGGUCGCAAGAUUAAAACUCAAAGGAAUUGACGGGGACCCGCACAAGCGGUGGACGAUGUGGAUUAAUUCGAUGCAACGCGAAGAACCUUACCUGGUCUUGACAUGUACGGAACCCUCCAGAGACGGAGGAGUGCCUUCGGGAGCCGUAACACAGGUGCUGCAUGGCUGUCGUCAGCUCGUGUCGUGAGAUGUUGGGUUAAGUCCCGCAACGAGCGCAACCCUUGUCAUUAGUUGCCAUCAUUAAGUUGGGCACUCUAAUGAGACUGCCGGUGACAAGCCGGAGGAAGGUGGGGAUGACGUCAAGUCCUCAUGGCCCUUAUGACCAGGGCUUCACACGUCAUACAAUGGUCGGUACAGAGGGUAGCCAAGCCGCGAGGUGGAGCCAAUCCCAGAAAACCGAUCGUAGUCCGGAUUGCACUCUGCAACUCGAGUGCAUGAAGUCGGAAUCGCUAGUAAUCGCAGGUCAGCAUACUGCGGUGAAUACGUUCCCGGGUCUUGUACACACCG
This 674-nucleotide ribosomal RNA is filed under the name uncultured bacterium. RNAcentral's name for it is "bacterial SSU rRNA". It matches the Rfam family "Bacterial small subunit ribosomal RNA", at positions 717 to 1392 of the family's 1533-position model. The record is from RNAcentral.